This is a long non-coding RNA of Hibiscus syriacus, 277 nucleotides long. RefSeq lists it as uncharacterized. The record is from RefSeq and is a predicted model, not a curated record. NCBI's taxonomy places the organism in Eukaryota, Viridiplantae, Streptophyta, Magnoliopsida, Malvales, Malvaceae. The transcript is spliced from 3 exons.
UCAAAAGCUUACUGAAUGAUCUCGAAUGCCAUUUGAGGGAUGCCACAGCUGCACUGCAAAUGGCAAAUGAACAUUUAUCUCCGCUGUUGGACAUGGAAUCUAGCAUCGGACUACAUCCACGAGAAAGUAGUAGUGGUGAAGAUGAAAUGACUCCAUCUCGACUUCGAGAACCUGAAAUUACAGAUUAUGCCGUCUUGAUGGGAAUCAUUUAUAGUAUGGUGAAGCAGGAUUGUACAAUGCAGGAUAAGAUCGUUAAUUCUCUAAACCUCAACUCAAC